ACGGUUAAGAAAUAGAUGGUACAAAGUCUAAUUUUGCUUCUUUAUGCAAUUUAUUGCUCAUAACCCCAUAAUUAUCAUAAUAGCAAUUUGAUCUUAUCAUCCUUUUCUUAAUGCAAUAAGAAGACAAAUUCUACCUCUUCAAUUACCACCUUCACGGUUAAGAAAUGACUUGGGAUAAGGCCAAAUUUGUUUCAUCCAAUUCCUAUAAGAAUCAAAUUAUAGUUAUCAAGUGACUUAUAAUCCUAUUUUCUUCCUCCUUCUCUUGCAAGUCUUAGCAACAAACAUACUACUUUCCAACCGUUAAAGAAAUACCGCAAUUACUGUCACCCCUCUUCUCCUACUACCGCCUGACCUCUAUCAUCAUCGGUCAACCGUCGCCGCCCCCCGUGUGCGCUGCCUCCCCUGUACUGCCCAAAACCACCCAUCCAUUUCUUUCAUUUUGGGUGAUGCGUGCUAUGUUCUUGCCAAGUUAAAGAUUGGUCUUAUGAAAUCAAGCUCUUAAACUUGUUUAUUUAUACACCCAAAAAGAAUCGAACCUCGGAGCUCAGUGAGAACGAUAGAAUAAAGGCUAACAGGAAGGUUAUCAGACUGUAAAUCGAGGUAACGGCUAUUGCUAGUACCCGCAAUUCCCUUCAAAAUGUGUUUAUAAAAGCAUGAUGUCAAUUUUGAAAGUUAAUUAUAUCUCUGGAUUUAUUGACUUGCGGGAUGAUGAUUGUGUUUAUUAAUGCCUCAGUCUAAUGAUUUAUAUGAAUGAUUUUAUUGAUAAACGUUG
Long non-coding RNA from Chenopodium quinoa (quinoa), 772 nucleotides. RefSeq lists it as uncharacterized. The transcript has 2 exons. NCBI's taxonomy places the organism in Eukaryota, Viridiplantae, Streptophyta, Magnoliopsida, Caryophyllales, Amaranthaceae. The record is from RefSeq and is a predicted model, not a curated record.